Priapulus caudatus is the source of this 112-nucleotide long non-coding RNA. RefSeq lists it as uncharacterized. The record is from RefSeq and is a predicted model, not a curated record. NCBI's taxonomy places the organism in Eukaryota, Metazoa, Priapulida, Priapulimorpha, Priapulimorphida, Priapulidae. The transcript is spliced from 2 exons.
AUUUUUUUACAUUAAAAGUAAGAACUAACGGGAUCGUAACGUAUCGUAAAAUUCUUACCUCAUAAGAUUGUUUCUCAACUAGUUAAAAAUCAAAAAAACCUGGACGAUUUGA